UUGGAAGUUUACUCAAUGGAAUUAAAAACCCUUUCCGAGAACCUAAUAUCGAAAAUGGGAGAAGUGUUAAAUAUCAAAGAUGAAGAAAUGAGAGAAUUCUUUGAAAAUGGAGUGCAAGCAAUGAGGAUGAAUUAUUACCCUCCAUGUCCUCAGCCCGAGAAGGUUAUGGGCCUGUCGCCUCAUUCUGAUGCAGCUGCACUUGCCAUUCUGCGACAACUUAAUGAAGUGGAGGGUCUCCAGAUAAAGAAGGAUGGAAAGUGGAUUCCUGUUACCCCACUCCCGGAUGCUUUCAUUGUCAACAUUGGAGACACAUUGGAGGCAAUAAUUAUAAUAAAUUACCUUAACCUGGCAUUUUUAUGCGCUUGCUUAUGUGCUUUAAUAAUUUUUGCAUGGCAGAUUAUAACCAAUGGGACAUACCCUAGCAUUGAGCAUCGUGCAGUUGUAAACUCUGUACAGGAAAGACUUUCCGUUGCCACAGCUUACUCACUGAGAUAUGAUGGUGAAGUGUAUCCUGCCCCCAGUUUGAUCUCUGAAAAAACUCCUCCUUUGUUUAGAAGAGUGAGAAUUGAAGAAUACUUUAGGAGCCGGUAUGCUCGUGAGCUUAGGGGAAAAUCUCAGCUGGAUUCCCUGAGAAUUCAACAUAGUCAAGGCUAGUAUAAGUUUAAUUCGGAUAACUAAAGAGUUUGGUACAAAAACUCUGAAGCAGCUCGCUAUUAAGAUUGUGCGUGGAACUGAAAAUAAGAAAUAAGUUCUAUGAAUACUGUGGAAUAACCUGCUAUGCUAGGGUCGAUCUGUUUCUAAUAGCUCUAUCAUUUGAUAUACUGAAAAGACCAUGUAAUAAUCUUAAGAAUUGCAGACUUAUGCCUGGAAUCUUCCGAUGAUAUAUAGGGGUGCUUAUAUCAGAUCAGUAUCUUUCUUUCUUGAAGUAGAAUUUUUGCAUACCUGACUUGUUUUUAAUGAGAUUUCAAGGACUAUAUGACUUGGUUUCCAAAUUUUUAUGAUACAUACAGAUAAUAUUACCACAGAACCAGUGUAGUUUCUGUAUGAGCCGUUAUAGAUUUCAGUUAAUAGUAACAAGUUUUUGAUUAUUAACAACAAUGUUGUCCUUCCACGUCUUAAAUAUUCCAUUCCAUAACACACAUUGUGACGAAUACAUAACUUGUUACCACUAACGAAAAUUUUUGCCAUCAAUAGCUGAAAAUAGCUGUUAGUUACACAAGCUGCAAAGCUAUAACUUUGGAUUUCAUAUUCAGAUUCUCUCUCAAAGUUGAACUUGGAACUACGGUUGAUGAUCUGCUAUUAUGCUGAGAAAACUACAAGAUUUUGAUUGGUUGUCAUCAGACAAUGUAAAAGAAAUUAGCAUGGUAUCCAAAUUCUUAAGAGUUUGAGAAGACAAUGCACUAUCUUUUUUAUAAUUCGCAGCAGACAGCAAUACAACAGCAGACUGCAACUGUCAUAUUCACAAAAUAUCUAUGGGCCAACCCUAGACCCGCAAUGGUGGAUUAGUCUCGCACAAGGCCACAGCAAAUAAUGACUUGUUGAAAAUAAUACAUUUUCAACAUUUGCUUUGUCAAUAAAACUCUGGAGCAUUAUUGUUGAGAGAAUUUGUGGAACAAAAAGAAGGCCAAGUUCGGAGGUUCUCUGCCUGUGCCUUGUGUUCAAGAGUUGGCCAAUAAUUCUAUGUUAGCUAUCCCUCCCAGAUACAUACGACCAGGCCAAGAUUUAACCACAAUUUCUGAUAAUAAUUUGGAUUCACGGCUAUUGCAGAGCUUGUUUUCUGAAGAGUCAACGGAUUCUGAGUUGUCCAGGCUCCACUUCGCUUGCAAAGAAUGGGCUUCUUUCCAGGUAAACUCCUUUGCCAAGUUAUUAUUAUUUUGCUUUUAAAGGAUUUGCUUGGGAUGAGACCUCAUCUACUAAAUACCACCCUUUGUCCCAUAUUGUUACUCGAGAGCAGAUAUCUGCAAAUUGCGAAUUACAUUCACAACCAGCUAAGCUACACCUGCCGUGAGGCACCCAAGUUUGUAUUUUUUUCCUUUGGACAUGCUUGGUUUAUUAAUAGUAGUCUGGCGUCAAGAAUUAAGAAAUCUGUAUACUCUCAAUCAAAGAGCACAGUCGAUCAAAUUCAGAUUAGAUUGUGUUUCAUUCUUAUAGGUCAAGUAGGCCACAAAUUUGGCCUACUCUGUAUCAAUGCUUUCUUACUCUGUAAGUUAGCAAUAAGAAAGCUCUAACAAAAUUUGAGUCUAGAUAGUCUUAACCAAGCCGGUUUAAGCACCCUUUUUUUUUAAAAAAAAAAAAAUUGUGGGAUGUAACUGACCUUGUCCGAUUAUGGACCACCUAACUUGCUUUCUUGUAUAGCUGAGAAGACAAACCUGCAUUCUUGAAAAUUAAAUUGUCUUUAAUAUCUUUCGGAUGUCUAGGCUUACGGUAGCUUGCGAAGAACUAUAAGCAAAUUUAUGAUGUAGUAUAAUGCAAAUGCGAUUCUAUUAGUUUAUUGAAAUCUAACAAAUAUGGAAGGAUUUGGACAAGCAUUUGUUAUAUCCGAGGAACAAAAGGUUGAUUGGAUUGACAUUUUCUUCAUGACAACUCUUCCAAUUCAUCUGAGGAAACCCCACUUGUUUCCUAAGCUCCCUCUUUACCCCUUAGAUUUCUCUCUCUCUCGUCAGUUAUUUGAUGGUUGCAAAUGUAUUAGGUUCAGAGAAAGAUCCCAAGUCAGUUAUAUUUAGUAAAAUUUGACAAUCAAACAUGAUUUUGAAAGAAUACUGUUAAAUAAUAACUUACUUAACAAUCCACCACAAUCAUAUACUAAACCUUCUAAUUGCGUCUUCUUUUUUCUUAUAGGAAAUCUUGGAAUUUAUUCAGCGGAGUUAAAAAUCUCUGGCCAUGAACGUGGUAUCGAAAAUGGGAAAAGUUCUAAAUAUCAAAGAUGAAGAAUUGAGAGAAUACUUUGAAAAUGGUUUCCAAUCAAUGGGGAUGAACUAUUACCCUCCAUGUCCUCAGCCGGAGAAGGUUGUGGGCCUCACAACUAAUUCUGAUGACUCUGUUCUUACCAUGCUGCUGGAAAUCAAUGAAGUAGAAGGUCUCCAGAUCAAGAAGGAUGGAAAGUGGAUUCCUGUUACACCUGUCCCAAAUGCUUUCGUUGUCAACAUUGGAGUCGUGUUGGAGGUGAUAAGUUAUUUUAACUUGACAUUCAUAUGAGCUAGCUAAUGUGUGCUUUCAUUAAUUCCCGUUGCUCCACUCCCUAAUGCUUUCAUUGUCGACAUUGGAGACACACUGGAGGUAAUAAUUAUAGUAAAUUACUUAACUUGGCAUUUAUAUGAGCCUGCUCAUGUGCUUUAAUAAUUUUUACAUGGCAGAUUGUAACCAAUGGGACAUACCGUAGCAUUGAGCAUCGUGUAAUUGUAAACUCUAUACAAGGAAGGCUUUCCAUUAGCACAGUUUACUUAGUGAUAUAUGAUGGUGAAAUGUACCCUACGUCCAAUUUGGUCUCUGAAAAUAAUCCUCUAUUGUUUAAAAGAGUGACAGUUGAAGAAUACUUUAGGAACCUGUGUGCUCGUAAGCUUAGGGGAAAAUCUCCUCUGGAUGCCUUGAGAAUUGAACAUGUUCAAGACUAGUAUAAGUUUAUUUUGGAUAACUAAAGAGUGUAGUACAAAAACCGUGGGGGACCUUGCUAUUGCAAUUUUGUGUGGAGCUAAAAAUAAGCAAUAAGUAUACGAAUAAUAAAUCCUUUGGUGAAAAUUAUCACCUAAAUUUAGGAAUAUACACGUUCUAUCACCAAAAAUCAAUAACAGAAUAUACGACAGCAUACCUAAGAUCAUAAUGCACAAUUUGUCUCUAGAGUCUAGUAGUUUGUCUUCCAAAUUAACAUGUUCUCCUAGAGAAUCCUUUAAAAUUCUCUGUGCACUCUCUCUAAUGAUGAGAUGUCAACAGAGAAUAGAACGAUACGUGUGACCUAGGGACAAUAACUACUUAUAUAAACAAAUUUUUCUUUUGUCUUUAUGUAUUCUUAUUCCAACCCAUCAUGGAAAUAGAAAAUAGUCUUAAGUCUCUGUACAUUAAAGGCCUACAAUUGAUUAGAUACAUUAAAGCCCAAAUUAUCGAAAACUUUAAUAGAUCAUUUUUAAUUUGCCUUAAACUUAUAUAAUAGUUCACAACAUAUAAUUAUUCACAUAUAAGCCCAACAUUGGAUCAAUGAUCUAACAAUGCUAGAUUAAAGAUCCAACAACCUUUCACUUGGGCUAUAUAUGUAACCUUAUAAUUAUACUUUGCAAAAAUAACCAUAUGAGCUCAAUUUUACUGUCAUUACUAAAAUGUAUCUAUAGUCAAUUCGGUCCAUCAAUCAUACCAACAAAGGAUCAAAACGACCUUUGUUACAACUAUCGUAACUUGACCCAUCAAUGCGCACUAUGCCAAUAUAGCUGAAUGACAUAGAUCAUGAUAUGGGCGUGUAGGAUGGAAAUUUCAUGUAAUGUGAUCUUAACAUGCCUAUUUCCAAUUGAUCCACCUUAAACUUUAGUGAGAUCAAAUUAUAUAAAAAUUAGAGUGUGAAUGAAUAAACCAAAACUUUAUUUCUGCAGAAAAUAACCUUAAAUAUCCCUAAACCGAAAAAUGUUUAUAUCAUAAGAACAUUUAAAAGUUACAAAAUCCCAUUAAAAAUGAAUAUCCUUUAAUGACACGACACCUAUAUGAACAGUGUGCCUACGAAAAAUUUUAGAUGGUAUUCCCUUAGUAAGCGGAUCCGUGAUCAUGGAUUUUGUACCAUUAUGCUUUAUAGACAAUUUUCCACUCUAAAUUCUUUAUUUAACAACUAGGAACUUGAUGUUUAUAUACUGUGACUUCGUCGAGCUCCUAUUGUUAUUGGAAUAUAGCACUGCUAACUUAUUGUCACAUAAUAACUUGAGUGGUCUAUCAAUACCAUCUAAAAUGUGUAACUCUGUGACGUAAUUCCUCAGCCAUAUUCUGUGAUUGGAUGUCUCGUUACAUGCUAUGAACUUUGCUAUUAUAGUAGAAGAGGCUAUAAGAGACUGCUCAACAGAUGUGGCUCGCUCUAAAAGAUAAGUUCAGUGGCACUUCGACUACUAAAUUGAGAAGGCUGAUGAUCAAGUUUGAUUCUUAUUGGAAUUGCCAAAAUCAUAUUAUGAGGCAGCAUCUAAGGGAGAUGUCAAACAUGAUUUGCGAACUUAAGGCUGCUGAACAUAUUUUGACUGAUGAACAAUAAGUCCAGGAAGUAAUAAGAUCUUUACUUGAUUCUUGGGUGCACAUGAUGGUGAAUAUGACUCACAAUGAAAGUAUUAGAACUUUCAAUGACAUAGAACAUCACCUAGAAUUAGAAGUAAAACGCCUUGAGGCAACUAAGCUUUUUGAUCGUGUUUAUUUGACCGAAUCAAAUUCGCACAAAGCUUCAAGCUUCAAGUGCAAAAGGGUCAUAAUUAUAACCAGAAUGGUGAGAAAUCUGAUCCUAAGAAGAGGAAUUUAGAUGCUAAGAAGCGCCCAAGGGGUAGACGCACUGACAAGAACAAUGACAAAUCUAAGAUGAAAUACUAUAAUUGUAGUGAGCCGGGUCACUUUGCUCGCGAGUGCACUGAGCCCAACUCCACUUUAUUAAAUUUUGUGUUAGUUAUGAGUUAUGUACUCCUAAUUGAUUCUCGUCCUAUGUAGACUGUAGACUCAGGAUCAACAGACUAUAUAGCUCGUGAUCAAAAUGCGUUUGUAGAGUAUCAUCAAAUUAGUCAAGGGACUAGAUGGAUAUACAUGGGCAACAACUCCAGAGUUGAAGCAAAAGAAAUAGACACCUACAAAUUGACUUUGCAUGGUGGAUGUAUUCUUUUAUUACACGAUGUCCUAUAUGCACUAGAGAUUCGACAAAACUUAGUUUCUGUUCCCAUUCUUCUUGAAUUAGGAUAUAAUUUAAACUUUUAUGAUUUUUUUUUGGAGAUUUUCUUAAAUUUAGUCCUUAUUAGAACUGACAUUUCGUUAAUGGUUUUAUUAUAUUAGAUACAAUACUUGAUAAUUCAAGUUAUGAUAAUAAUUGUUUUUCAUAUGCUACUUCUUUAAGUAAUAAUAAGAUAGAUGUUAUUACUUGGCAUGCUUGAUUAGGUCACAUAGGGCAAAAAAGAAUGAAUAGACUUACGAGAAAGGGCAUAUUGAGUUUACUUACCAAGGUUGAAUUGCCCAUAUGUGAGAAUUGUUUAGCUGAAAAAACAAUUAGAAAACCAUUUGACAAAGGAAUUAGAGUUGAAAAAUCAUUACAAUUAAUCCAUUCUGACAUCUGUGAUACAAUGAAUGUAAGGGCUAAACAUGGAGCCUCAUAUUUUAUAACAUUCAUUGAUGAUUAUUCAAGUUUCGGUCAUGUCUACUUGAUUUCUUAUAAAUCAGAAGCAUUGAAUUGCUUUAGAUUAUAUCUAAACAUGGUAGAGAAUCAACUAGAUAGUAAUGUUAAAGUUCUAAGGACUGACUGAUGACAUGAAUACCUUUCAAAGUAGUUCAAGGACUUGUGUAAUGAGAAAUGAAUAAAUAGACAACUGACUAUUUUUGGAACUCUGUAACAAAAUGGCAUGGCGGAAAGAAGGAAUAUAAUUUUUUUAGAAAUGGUUAGGUCAAUAAUGGCACACUCAAAUAUUCCAAUAUCAUAUUAGGGAGAUGCAUUGUUAACUACUGCCUAUAUAUUUAACCUAGUUCCUUCAAAAUCAGUUAGUUAUUCUCAUAUGAGUUAUAGACGGCUAAGAAACCUGACCUAUUUCAUUUGUGACCUUGGAGGUCUGUAGCUUAUGUUUAUAACUCCAUUCAUAAGUUUGGGAAAUUAGGAGAUAGAAGCAAAAAGCGUAUCUUUAUUAGAUACUCAGAACACUCCAAACGAUAUGUGUUCAUUGGUGAACAUGAAAGUGGAUUUUUAACUGAACUGGAAUCAUAGGAUGUUGAUGACUCUAUGAAAUGAAGUUAUCAUUAUAUUUCUAGACUUAAAUCAAGAUUUCUUAAAGAGUAAAUAAUGUCUUUCUAUUACUUUUUAAUGAUAUUUUGCAUUAACAUCCGUUUUAGUUUAAUUCUAGUAAAUUUUGUUUGGUUUCGAAUAAUCGUGUGCUUAAAUCAUAUACGCAAGUGUGGGUAAUUGGAAGUUUGAAUUUCAAGGACAAGAUGUUGUUGCAAUGAGCUUGCAAAAUGAAUGAAAGAACAUGGCUGUAGAAGAAUUAAAACAAGUCUGGAACAAUGCAGAUGUUGCAGACAUUGUUGUAGCAAUGUUAGAGCAUUGAUAGAGAAGAUUUCAUGUGAGGCACUUAAAAGAUUGAGAUAUGGAGUUUUCAAAUCUGGCAGAUACACACCCUAGACUUUCAGUUGCCCUAAGUUUUAUCUAUAAAAAGAGCACACAUGCAAAGGAAGAGAGAGGCCGUCAACCAAGAACAAAAACCGAAAAGAAAUAAAAGAAAAACAUAAUUCAAGAGCAAAAUUAAGGGCUGCAUCAUAGGAGAAUUUGUAGAAAUCAUUCAGGAACUUAGUCUUUCUUAGUCUUCUCUUGUUUUCUUGUUUAUUCUUUAAUCAUGAGGAUGCAUUUGCUGACCAAAACUCCAUUGUUCAUGUUUCUUUUACAUAUUAUAAACUAAAUUUAUUUGUGGUUGAGUGAUAAAUAAUCUUGAUGGUCCAUUGACUAUAUAAAUGUGUUGUUGUAUGCUUGCUAUAGCAUUUUAUUUUGAUGAUAUUUAUUUAUAUUCAUUAUUUCGGUUGACCACCCAUUUAAUGAUACAAGCUAAGAAAGAGCUACAAAAGGACUUAUCUUAAUGUAACAUAUCCGAGUAAUACUUGGUUUUAGAUUGGGUUUCUUGAGUUGAGUUUUACUUGAUUCCAAAAGGGCCAUGCCUAAUAUAAAAUUCGUGAUGAAUUAGACAUACGAAUUCACAUUGUAGGAUAAAUAGAACCUAAAUGUGUAAUGUUAUAUCUUAUGUUGGCAUAACAAUUGGUCACUAUUAGAUUGCAUAAGGAUAUAAGACAUCCAACAUGCGACAGUUGAGGAUACAAUAUGAUUUUGCCUAGUGCUGUAUCAAACGUUGUAGCAACCGAGCCAAAGAUUAGAAGAAACAGUCAAAACCAUUAAGAGAGUUUAAUCACUCAACUACUCCAUUCUCAUUGGCUUUAUUCUUAUGUUUGACAUGAGAAUUUUAUUUAUUGCCUUUUUAGUUAUUACAUUUUAUAGUUUAAUUAGUUAUUUAGUCUCAUUAAUUAUUUAGUCUAAAUUUAGAACACAAGCUGCACUGUUCAGGAUUAUUUUAGCAAUUCUGAUAACAUCAAUCCCUGUGGAGACGAUCUUGAAUAUUUAUCAUUAUAUUACUUAUUGUGUACACUUGCAUAUUGAUACUAAUAAUACAAGAAAAAUUGCAACAAAUGUCAGUUUUUUAGAAAAUGAAUUUUCUAGCAUUGAAGAAGUUGAUAAGGAUUUUCAAUUUUAUGAAUUAGAAGAUCCAAAUGGGGUUAUCACUUCUAAUGUCGAUAUUGGCAUUAGUACGAAUCCUCUGGGGAUUGUUACUCUGAGUGGGAGUGAAACACCGGACACUUCGAUUCGAAUUAAGGAAUCGACUUAGAAGAGUAGUCGUAAGUCAAUUCCUUGUCAUCAUUUUGAAAUUGAGGGAGAAGUUUUAUGAUUACUUCACACGAUAGUGAAGAGCCAAAUACUUUUAAUAAAGCUCUCACAUCGUCUACUAGGGAUUUAUAGAUGAAAGCAAUAGAAGAAGAGAUAAAAUCUAUGAAAGUUAAUCAAGUUUGGGACUUGCUUGAAUUUCUGCCUAAUCGUAAAAUUAUCAGAAAUAAAUGGGUUCUCCAUAUAAAAUGUAAAGUGGAUGGGACAAUCGAGAGAUACAAAAUAAGAUUAGUCGCUAAAGGCUAUACCCAAAAGGAGGGAAUAGACUAUAAAGAAACCUUUUCUCCUAUGGUAAGGUUUGCUUCUAUACGAUUAAUUUUGGUCAUUAUUGCACAUCUAGACCUUGAAUUGCAUCAGAUGGAUGUAAAUAUUGCAUUUCUCUAGAUAAUGAACUGAGAGGUAGGCAAAUUUGGUUUGGAUCAGUUUGAGACAAAUUAUCAAACCGAUCCAAACUGAUAUCGACCUAAAUUUUUUUUAAACCAAACCAACUAGAUUGGUUUUUUUCUUGGUUUGAGAUUAUUAGCUAAAAGCCCACCUCUUUUAUAUUGUUGUACCUAAAUUAUUUGUUAUUUUUUGUAUCCAUAAUCCAAAUUGAUAUCUCUUUUAUAUUAUUCAUAUCUACAUAACAAUUUAAAGAUACAUCCAUACAAGUUCACAACAGAAUACAUCCUAAUAAAGAAGUUCUCAACUUGUUCAUUCAAAACAAACUCACAAAAUUAAAAUAAACUUGAACAACAUUUGACAAUCAAAAUAUCGUGCAUCUUGUCCUUUAAAACUUAUGGCCCAAUUACUUUUGAUUUGUCAAAAUCUGCAUAAAAUGACAAAAUGAUAGAUUGCUUAACUUAGAAAAUAAUAUAAUUAUACUAUAUGUAAAGCAUAGGUACCUUGCUCCACAGACGUACAUAAUUCCAAAUCACUAAAGUAUGAUGACAAUACUUCUACAUCAAACUUCCUAAUAAUUUUUUCAUCCAUACCAGAUGCUUUAAGCCAUUGUUGACUAUAUAUCAAAGUCUCUACCAUUGUAGGGGUUAAUGAACUUCGAAAUGCAUAGACUACACGACCUCCAGUAUUAAAAACAGGUUCAGAAGCCACAGUAGAUACAGGAAUUGCUAACAUAUCCUUUGCAAUUUGUGACAAAGUCCCAAACCUUGCACUAUUUGCAAUCCACCAACUCAAAACAUCAAACUAAUCAUCAGUUUCAUCCUCACUAGGUUAGAACAAAUACCUUUCUACCUCAUUUUUCAAAUCAAUGGAAUCUUUCUGCACUUUUAACUGCUUAUAUUGAGUCUUUGUAUUAAUAAAUGCAUAGUCCUUGCCACUUUUCCUUCUUAAACCCACAUCAAUUGCCAAAACAUCAUUAGUAGAUUGGCUACCAUCACCAGAAGUAGAUUCUACAAGACAAUAGGUUUUACAUAGCUAUGAACAUAAAUUUAAGUAAAUAUGAAUACAGUUACAAAAAAAAAGAAAAAAGUAACUAUUGUUAUAACUGAAUCUAAUUUGAAAGUUUAAGAAUACACCUUUAAAAGUAGCUUCUUAAUGUUUGAUGUAAUUUCUUUCGCUUUCUCAAGAUUAUGCAAAUUUUCAAAGCAAAAUGACACAUAAUCAAAUUUGUACCUUAGAUAUGAAAUGAAUUAGAGUAAAUAAUUAUCACAAUUGAUUUUAUCAUAAAAAAUAAAAAUUCAAAUGAAAUAACAGAUUUUUACCUUGGAUCAAGUACCACAGCAAUGAUCAAUAGUUGAUGUAUAGUGUCCAUAGAACCCCAAUACUUGUCACACUUUAUUUUCAUUUUUUCUGCCCUUUUACUAAGAAGCACCUCUUUUUUUUUUCAAUGAAUGAAUGCAACUAGGUUUGAAUGGUGCAAAGAUGAUGAAAAUACAAGUUAGACAUGACAAAUAAUAAAGCACUGUAUUCAACUAUACCAUUAUUCACAAAUUUCAAAAACUCGAUAAAUAUUGCAGCAUUUUUCCAAUCUUCAGUUGUGGGUGGCCUGAUAUGUUCUGCUUUCCUCUCAUUGAAAAAACUCAUAUAUGGUCCAUCACAUUCCUCUUCUUUCAGACUUUCAAAAGCUUUCUGAAAGUGUAUAGCUAUGGACAACAUAGUGUAGAUAUAAUUCCAUCUAGUGGGCACAUGAUAUGCUAAAAGCCCUUCAUAUUCAAUUUUCUCUCUCUCAACACAUGAUUUAAAUUUAUAAUGAUAACUCUAUGAAAUGAGAGUUAUCAUGGCACUUUGAGACUUAAAUCAUGAUUACUUAGAGAGUAAAUGACAUGUUUUUAUUGCAUUUUAGUAAUGUUUUGAAUAAACAUUCCAUUUUAGUUUACUUUUAAUAAGUUUUGUUUGAUUCAGAAUAAAUUGUAUGCUUAAAUCAUAUGCAUAAUUGUAAGUGACCGGAAGCUCAAAUUUCAAGAAAGGAAUACGGCUGCAAUAGGCUUGUAAAGAUAAGGAAAGAACGUAAUUAGAGAAGAAUUGAAACAAGUCUGGAACAGUGUAGAUGCUGAAGCCAUUGUUGUAGCACUGUUGUUGUAGCAUCGUUGUUAUAGAUUUUCUGGAGCAUUGACAGAGAAGAUUUUACGCGAGAUACUUUGAAGUUUGCGGUCUGGAGUUUUCUAAAUUAGAAGAUGCACAUUCUAGGCUUCCAGUUGCCCUAAUUUUAAGCUACAAAAUGAGCACACAUGCAAAGAAAAGGGAGCCGUCAUUGGAGAAGAAAAAUAGAUAAACAACACAAGAAAAAACAAAGAUCAAGAGAGAGAAUUGAGGGCUGCAACUAAGGAAUUCGAGAAGAACAUCAAGCGGAUCUCACUCUUAUUUUUUGUUCUCUUGUUUCUAUCUCGUUAUGAUGAAUUGUUUGAUGGCUGAAACUAUUUUACUUCUUGUUUUAUCCCAAAUUAUGAACUAAAUUUAUUUGUGGUUGAAUAAUGAACAAACUUGAUGGUUAAUUGACUAAUAUUCUGUGUUGCUACAUGUUUGCUAUAGCACGUUGUUUUGAUAAUACUUAUUUCAAUUUACUAUUUCAAUUUACUAUUUCGGUUGACCACCCAUUUAGUGAUACUAGUUAAGAAAGAACCUAAAAAAGACUUGUCUUAGUGGAACAUAUGAAAGCAAUACGUGGUUUUAGAUUGGGUUUCUUGAGUUGGGUUUAACUUGAUUUGAAAAGGGUCAUGCUUAAUAUAAAAUUAGUGAUGAACUAGAUAUAUGGAUUCACCUUGUAGUGUAAUUAGAAUCUAAAAUGUGUAAUGUUAUAUACGAUGUUAGCAUAACAAUUGGUCACUGUUAAGUUGCAUUUAGAUAUAAGUUAUCCAACAUGCGACAGCUGACAAUACAUAAGGAUUCUGCCCAGUGCUGUAGCAAAUGCUAUAGCAAUCGAGCCAACAUUAGAAAAAUAGUCAAAACCAUUAAGUGAGUUUAAUCGCUCAACUACUCCAUUCCCCUUGGGAACAUCCUUGUAUUUGCUGUGUUGCUACAUGUUUGCUAUAGCACGUUAUUUUGAUAAUACUUAUUUCAAUUUACUAUUUCGGUUGACCACCUAUUUAGUGAUACUAGUUAAGAAAGAACCUAAAAAAAACUUGUCUUAGUGGAACAUAUCAAAGCAAUACGUGGUUUUAGAUUGGGUUUCUUGAGUUGGGUUUAACUUGAUUUGAAAAGGGUCAUGCUUAAUAUAAAAUUAGUGAUGAACUAGAUAUAUGGAUUCACCUUGUAGGGUAAUUAGAAUCUAAAAUGUGUAAUGUUAUAUAUGAUGUUAGCAUAACAAUUGGUCACUGUUAAGUUGCAUUUAGAUAUAAGCUAUCCAACAUGCGACAGCUGACAAUACAUAAGGAUUCUGCCCAGUGCUGUAGCAAAUGCUAUAGCAAUCGAGCCAACAUUAGAAAAAUAGUUAAAACCAUUAAGUGAGUUUAAUCGCUCAACUACUCCAUUCCCCUUGGGAACAUCCUUGUAUUUGCUGUGUUGCUACAUGUUUGCUAUAGCACGUUGUUUUGAUAAUACUUAUUUCAAUUUACUAUUUCGGUUGACCACCCAUUUAGUGAUACUAGUUAAGAAAUAACCUAAAAAAGACUUGUCUUAGUGGAACAUAUCAAAGCAAUACGUGGUUUUAGAUUGGGUUUCUUGAGUUGGGUUUAACUUGAUUUGAAAAGGGUCAUGCUUAAUAUAAAAUUAGUGAUGAACUAGAUAUAUGGAUUCACCUUGUAGGGUAAUUAGAAUCUAAAAUGUGUAAUGUUAUAUAUGAUGUUAGCAUAACAAUUGGUCACUGUUAAGUUGCAUUUAGAUAUAAGCUAUCCAACAUGCGACAACUGACAAUACAUAAGGAUUCUGCCCAGUGCUGUAGCAAAUGCUAUAGCAAUCGAGCCAACAUUAGAAAAAUAGUCAAAACCAUUAAGUGAGUUUAAUCGCUCAACUACUCCAUUCCCCUUGGGAACAUCCUUGUAUUUGUUGUGUUGCUACAUGUUUGCUAUAGCACGUUGUUUUGAUAAUACUUAUUUCAAUUUACUAUUUCGGUUGACCACCCAUUUAGUGAUACUAGUUAAGAAAGAACCUAAAAAAGACUUGUCUUAGUGGAACAUAUCAAAGCAAUACAUGGUUUUAGAUUGGGUUUCUUGAGUUGGGUUUAACUUGAUUUGAAAAGGGUCAUGCUUAAUAUAAAAUUAGUGAUGAACUAGAUAUAUGGAUUCACCUUGUAGGAUAAUUAGAAUCUAAAAUGUGUAAUGUUAUAUAUGAUGUUAGCAUAACAAUUGGUCACUGUUAAGUUGCAUUUAGAUAUAAGCUAUCCAACAUGCGACAGCUGACAAUACAUAAGGAUUCUGCCCAGUGCUGUAGCAAAUGCUAUAGCAAUCGAGCCAACAUUAGAAAAAUAGUCAAAACCAUUAAGUGAGUUUAAUCGCUCAACUACUCCAUUCCCCUUGGGAACAUCCUUGUAUUUGUUGUGUUGCUACAUGUUUGCUAUAGCACGUUGUUUUGAUAAUACUUAUUUCAAUUUACUAUUUCGGUUGACCACCCAUUUAGUGAUACUAGUUAAGAAAGAACCUAAAAAAGACUUGUCUUAGUGGAACAUAUCAAAACAAUACGUGGUUUUAGAUUGGGUUUCUUGAGUUGGGUUUAACUUGAUUUGAAAAGGGUCAUGCUUAAUAUAAAAUUAGUGAUGAACUAGAUAUAUGGAUUCACCUUGUAGGGUAAUUAGAAUCUAAAAUGUGUAAUGUUAUAUAUGAUGUUAGCAUAACAAUUGGUCACUGUUAAGUUGCAUUUAGAUAUAAGCUAUCCAACAUGCGACAGCUGACAAUACAUAAGGAUUCUGCCCAGUGCUGUAGCAAAUGCUAUAGCAAUCGAGCCAACAUUAGAAAAAUAGUCAAAACCAUUAAGUGAGUUUAAUCGCUCAACUACUCCAUUCCCCUUGGGAACAUCCUUGUAUUUGCUGUGGUAUUUUACUUUAUUGCAUUUUUCUCAUUGCGUUUUUAUUUUUAUUAUUUCAUUAGUUUAAUAAUUUGUUUUAAUUCUUGUUUAUAAUAAAAAUUGCACUAAUAAAAUUGUUGUAGCAAUUCCUAUAACAACCUAUGGAGACAAUCUUGAAUAUUCAUCAUUAUAUUACUUAUUGUGUACACUUGCACAUUGACAUCAAUAGCAUUAGAAAACCUGCAACAUGCAACCUCAAACCAGAAGACCUCACAUAUAUAAUUGCAUUGCAAAUGCUAGUAAUUAAGUCAUGCAUCUCUUUCAGCCGUUCAGUCACAAUUAUAUUAACAAUAUGGGCACAACACCACAAAUGUGAAUAAUCUCCAUCUAAAGUCAUUGCAUCACCCUUCCAAUUUUUCAACUUUUUUUUUCAAAUAAUUGAUAGAAACGUCAUUAGCACUCACAUUAUCAACUAUAACAGUCAUCACUUUUUCUAUACCUCAAUCAAGUUAGCAUUUUUUAAUAAGGUUGCCGAUUAAGUCCCCUUUGUCGCUUGUUAUUUGGAAAAAAAAAUUCAAAAUUUUCAUAUGCAAUUUCCAAUUAUGAUCAACCCAAUGGGUUGUCACAACAUAUAAUUAAAAUUUUUUAUGGAAGUCCAAAUGUUUGUGGUAAUAGAAACUCUAUACUUAUUUGCAAUAAAAAUAUUUUUGAAUGCUGCAUUCUCAACUAAAUACAGUUGAUAUAUAUCUCUAACAAGUGUUCCCCUCGAAGGAGGGCCAAAUCUAGGAUAAAGUUUAUCUCACAAAAGAUGAAACCUAUAAGACUCUACCUUCCUAAAUGAAACCUUAUUAAGAAUAAAAUACAUAACUACAUUCUUCCUACAAUCCUCCUGAUCAAACUUUCCAGCAAUCCCCAACCCAAUACCAUACACAAUAUUCCCAGUGCCACUACCACUUGCCAUAUUAGACUUUUUUUUCUUAUCACGGAAGCGAGCUAAUUUAACUCGAGUCACAUAAUCCAAAGUAGCCCAAUAUUUUUCACAUUGUUCUCUUAAGUGAGUCCACAAAUUAAAAGUCUCAUUAAACUUACUAUCACACUUAUACUAGUUCCCACAAUAUUUGCACUUACAUGUCCUAUUCACUUAAUCUUUGAUUUAAUGAGGCCAAACUUUUGAACCCCUUUCACUGUCAUGAAGACGACCACUCCCUGUUCUAGAUUUCCUACUUUUAGGUUCUAGAAAAUCAUCCAUCAAUAUUUCUCCAUUUUCUAUGAUAUUAUUCACAUUGGAAUUAUCUUCCAUGUUGAGAGCUUCUAUAAUUAAUAAAAAUUAAAAAACAUUAGUUAUGGAAUCAAUUAAUCAAAUAAAUUAUCAUCAAUUAUACCAAAAUCCAUUUUAACUUUUGACUAAAAUAAAAUAAAAUUGUAGCAAGUAAAAUAAAAUCAAAACAUGCCAUUUUGUUCCCAUUUUUAAAAUUAUGACUAUGAGACUUGAGAAUGAGCGAUUGAGAUUGAGAGAGUUGAGAAUGAUAGGAGGCACUGGAGGUUGAGGCAGCUGUGAGUGUUGGACAAUUAGGUUUUUGUGUUUUUGUUUUUAUAAUAAGAAGUAUGCUAUUGUGUAUGAAAGUGUACAUUUCUUCUGUUAAUAAUCCAAUAAUAAAUUGACACAUCAUAUGUCUUAAAGCUUUAUAAAUUUUCUAGAUUGGAUUGGUUUGCCGAAAUCCAAAUCGAGUGAUGUCGGUUUGCAAUCCAAUAAAUCAAAACUAGUUUUUUUACUAAUGAAACCGAUCCAAAUGGUCGGUUUGGAUAGGUUCAGUUAAAAUAUGCCCACUUGUAAUAGAACCUUAAAUUCUAUCAAGCUAUAGUUUCUUAGCUUUAGGAUGGUUAAGGAAGACCAUUGUGUGUACAUUAAGAGAUAUAAAGACGCUUUUACAAUAUUGACUUUGUAUAUGGAUGAUAAAUUAUUGGCAGCAAAUAGUAAAGAGUUUGUCAAAAUUAUUAAAGAUUGGCUACAUUCAAAUUUUGACAAGAAAGAUAUCGGCGAAGCAACUUAUAUCUUAGGGGUCAAAAUUUUUAAGGAUCGUUCAAGGAAAUUUAUGGCUCUGUCACAAGAGUCUUACAUUAAGAAAAUCAUUGAAAGAUUCAAUGUGGCUGAUUGUAAGCACAAGGAUACCCCUAUAGCUAAAGGACAAUCUUUUAGUCUCGAUAUGUGUCCCAAGACUCCUCAAGAAAAAGAAAGAAUGACUAGAGUUCCUUUUGCAAAUGCCAUUGGAAGUCUUAAGUGUGUCAUAAUGUGUAUAAUGCCUGAUAUUAGUUAUGUUGUAGGACUAGUAAGUAGAUACCAGUCUAAUCCUGGUCAGAGGCAUUGGAGUACUGUUAAAAGGAUUUUAGCAUAUCUCAAAUGCACUGCAAAUUAUUGUUUAUGCUAUCAAGGAGGUGGUUUGCGGCUUGUUGGAUAUUCAGAAGCCGACUAGGGUGGUGAUCUGGAUUAGCGCAAAUCGGCUUCAAGAUAUGUAUUCUUGCUAAAUAGAGGAACAAUUACAUGGAGUAGCAAGAAGCAAACAUGCACGACUUUAUCAAUGGUGGAAGCCGAAUAUAUUGCAUGUUCUGCAGUAGUGCAAAAAGUUAUGUGACUUAAGAGAUUUAUAGAGAACUUAGAGAUUAAUAUUAGUAAUGAUAAUCUAGUGACUAUCUAUUGUGACAAUCAAGCUACUAUCCCUUUCUCUAAUGAUGCUAAAUACCAUACCAAAUCGAAACACAUUGAGUUAAAUACAAUUUUGUAAGAGAUAUUUUGGCAAAGAAAGAAGUAGUCAGCCGUACAAUAUAUAUCUACACAGAGCAUGAUAACUGAUCCACUUACCAAAGCUGUAAUAAGGGAUGUAUUCGCCUAUCAUGCUAAAUCAUUAGGGCUACGUAGAUUAUAAAUUACUACUAUUAAGAUGUACUUAUUUGUUAUAAACAUCUUCAUUACAUAAGUUGUUUGAAAAUGUAAUAGUAUCUCUUAUUUCAAUUUAUUCCAUGAAAGACAUAAUUACACAUAUAUAAGAGUAUGUCGUCAGGUCCAGACUAGUAUUUUUACACAAGCGGUCACCUCAAUUGCUUUAGGAGCAAGAUGAGAUGAGACAAGUAGAAUAAUAAAACAAUAUUUUUGUGUGAGAGCCAAAUAAAAAGCAUUAUUCUACAAGUUUUUUUGCCUUGACUAGAAUCAAGAGGUCUCACACGAUUUUCAUUAUAGACUGACUAUGAUAUACCCCACCAUCAUGGAGACUUGAUUGAAGCUAGAUGUGAGAUCUUACUUUUUACGCUAGAAGACAGCGUUCAUUCUAAAAGAGUGACUAGACUAAGAUCUAUAGUCCUGGAAUGGAAAAUUUAUCGUAACACGUGUAUCAUACCACGCGUGCUUGGUAAUCAAAAUGGAAAAUGAAAGAAUCUUCAAUCUUUCUCAUUGUGUAAGUUUCAUAUAACUUUUUAUAAGUCAAUCCUGGUAUCAUCUUCUUCUCUUCUUCGUGAAGAUUAAAAUUAAGAACAUUGAACAAUCCAUAAAAAGGGCAUUUAUACUGUGAUCAGAUAAGGAUUUCCGCUUGCGAUUUCUUCUGACCAUUAACAUGAUCCAAUACUCGAUUACUCCGCUGCUGAAUUCAAUAAGAAAAAUAUUUCUAGAAUUUUCAUUUUUCCUUCAGACCAUGUAAGAAGCAUACGAACAGGAUGAUCCGGAGUCAAAAGGUGAACGAGGUGACGGCUCGUCCGUUAGUACUAUUAAUGUAUAAGGUAAUAUGGGAAUUACUAAUAAUUAAUCGACUAGCUGAUUUGUUAGUUAUGAUUAUCAAUGACGGUCUAUUUCCUGCCCAUAUUUUACCAUGCUGUUGAAUGGUCCCCUUAAAAUAAUCCAGAUCAGUCAUUUGCAUAAAAAUAUAUCAUGAGCGGUUAGGUGGAGGAUGCUGAUUUGUUAGAAAAUAAUUGUUUUCAACUCUUGCGAUUGUCUGCACCCUGCACUCUUGUUCCAAAACCAAUACAAAGCUGUAGCAAUCUUAAGAGGAUUUGUGGAACAAAAGAUGGCCAAGAUUGGAGGUUCUCUGCUUGUUCCUUGUGUUCAAGAGUUGGUCAAGAAUCCUAUGUUAGUUGUCCCUCCUAGAUACAUUUGUCCGGACGAAGAUUCACCACUCAAUUCUGAUCAUACUUUGAUUUCACAGAUACCAGUUAUUGACAUGCAGGGCUUGCUUUCUGAAGAAUCAAUGGAUUCUGAGUUAGCCAAGCUCGACUUCGCUUGCAAAGAAUGGGGUUUUUUCCAGGUAAAAUGCUUUAGCAGAGUUAGAAAGAUUUUUCAUGCUUGUCUGUGAUUUAAGAAUCAUGAAAUCUGCAAAACUCUCAGUCACAAAUUAUCUAUUUUUGAAACCCAGUUUCCAUUGAUUUAGCAUGUCAUGAUUUCAAAUUUCCCAUCUAGUCCUUUUGCUGCUUUCAGUGCUUCUAGGACUGCAGCUUGUGAAAUGUCAAGGAAGUUGUCUCUUGUUUUAUUGUACAAUUUAUGAGGCGAUAUGAGAAGAAAACACUCACCAUUUAUUUCUGAAACCCAGAUUCCAUUGAUAUAUUUGUUUUUGACUUUCUUUAUUACUUUACCUUUCCAUAUAGCCAUAGAUUUGUUAGUAUAAUUUGUAUUAAAAGAUGCCCAUGACAAAGUUCACCUAUUUUGUCUCAAUAGCUUUUGGUAGCUUAUGAGAAAUAUGCUUCUGUCAAUAUGUGAUUAAAGAUAUCGUAAUUGUAUAAGACUCCCGCAGAUUAUUAGCUGUUCUAGAAUAUUCAAAUUUCUCCAAAACUAUGACUAAAAAACACUUGUAAAAAUCAAUCAUUGAUUAGAUUUAUAAACAAAAUAAAAUUGGUGUUUAAUGCAACAGCAAUGUUCUCAGUUGAAAUGUAACAAAUGCUUUUAGCCAUCUUUGAUAGCAAAUCUUGUCUCUAAAUUAGUCAAAUAAGUUGCAAUCUGUCUUCAUAAAACGCCUGGACGAUUGUGAACCUAGUGGCACGAUUAUCAAAUCUUAGCUGCUGUUCAUUCCUGCAUAAUUUCAGCUGGUAAACCAUGGAGUAAGCUCAGCAUUUCUAGAGAAAGUGAAGAAAGAGGUUAAGGGCUUCUUCAAUCUCAGCAUGGAAGAAAAGAAAAAAUAUUGGCAGCAUCCAGGAGAUGUAGAAGGAUUUGGACAAGCCUUUGUUGUAUCUGAGGAACAAAAGCUUGAUUGGGCUGACAUUUUCUCCAUGAUCACUCUUCCAGUUCAUCUGAGGAAGCCACACUUAUUUCCUAAGCUCCCUCCUUCCCUCAGGUUCUCUCUUUUUGUGGUUGAUAUGGAUUUGCAAACAAAAAGAGAAAAUUAAACCUUCUAUGAUUCUAUCUAAUGUUUUACCUUCUUUUUUCUUGUAGAGACACCUUGGAAGUUUACUCGAUGGAGUUAAAAUCUCUGGCCAUGAACCUGAUAUCGAAAAUGGGAAAAGUUUUAAAUAUCAAAGAUGAAGAAUUGAGAGAAUUCUUUGACAAUGGUUUCCAAUCAAUGAGGAUGAACUAUUACCCUCCAUGUCCUCAACCAGAAAAGGUUAUGGGCCUCACCCCUCAUUCUGAUGGCUCUGCUCUUACCAUUCUGCUACAAAUCAAUGAAGUAGAAGGUCUCCAGAUCAAGAACGAUGGAAAAUGGAUUCCUAUCACACCGCUGCCAAAUGCUUUCAUUGUCAACAUCGGAGACACAUUGGAGGUAAUAAUUAUGAUUACUUUCCUUGGCAUUUUUAUGUCCCUUCUCAUGUGCUCUAAUAUUUUUAACAUUGCAGAUUAUGACCAAUGGGACAUACCGUAGCAUUGAACAUCGUGCAAUUGUGAACUCUAUACAAGAAAGACUUUCCAUUGCCACAUUUUACACAAAGAGAUUAGAUGGCGAAAUAUAUCCAGCAUCCAGUUUGAUAUCUGAAAAAACUCCUGCAUUGUUUCGAAGAGUGACAGUUGAAGAAUACUUUAGGAGCCGGUUUGCUCGUGAGCUUAGGGGAAAAUCUCACCUGGAUGACCUGAGAAUUCAACAUGGUCGAGGCUAGUACAAUUAUUUUGGAUAAUUGCAGAUUUGUGCCAGGAAUUUUCUGAUGAUAAUUGUGCUUAUUUUGGAUCAGUUUCUUUCAUUUUUGGAAUAGAAUUUUUGCAGGCUUGUCAUGUUUUUAUCAGAUUUCAAGAACUAUUUCACUUGCUUUCGGAGUUAAAGAUGAUUCAAAUAUGAUAUUAAAUACUUAAGCAUGCCAUUCUAACGCUUGCUUGUCCAAUUACAUCCUUAUCAACAAUAUAUUUUGUUACAAUGUCACUGAAGUUGAAUAGAUAACAACAUGCUUGGGUUAUAUGUUGUCAUUUGGCUUAACCAUCCGUCACAUUAAGCAGAUUGUUGUGAUAAUGUGUUUUACAACCUUCCCCAGUAGCAUGAAUGUAGUUAAAAUAAUUGUAACAAAUUUUGUAUUGCUUGUAGCAACAUUGUUCUCCAUAGCACACAUUGCCUGAGUACAAAAGUUGUAACUUGUUACCAAUAAUAAUAAUAAAAAAUAAUAAUAAUAGUAAUAAUAAUUAUCAAUAACUAAAAAUGAGACAGAUGUUACUUUCAUAAGUGGAACUUGGAUUCACAAGCAAAAUAUGAGGUUUUAAUUGGUUGUUAUCAGAAAAAAAUAUAAAGAUAAUUAAUGCCUAAACAUAAACAGCUAUAAUUGUAUAAAUGACUAAUCGAUUACAAUUCGAAUCCACUAUUUUCUUAAUAGUGCACAGUCAAUUCCAACACAGCACCAGAUUGCAGCGUGUUAGAAAAAUUUUUAGGUAAUCAUAUAUAUGUUUUAAUCAAUUAUGAUAAUAUGUUUACCCAUAUAUAAGAUUUGAAUAGAUAAAAAGUAAUACUCGAGAACCACCAAAGUCCUUUUAACUGCAGACACGCAAUGGUGGAUUACUCGCACAAGUCAAGAGCAAAAUACCAAGUUGUGAAAGAAAAAUAAAAAGGGGAAAAGAAAACAAAACGCAGUAUUGAAAAUACCUUCGCCUUUUGGGUUGAUGACAAGGUGGGAACCACAAAUAAUUAAUUGGCUGAUGGUUUGUCAUCGUUAUCCAUAGAGGAUAGUUUUGACCUGCGAAUAUUUUAUUUUGCAUUCGAAACAUGUGCAAAAAAUUAAAAAUACUUCAUGAAUGGUUAGGUGGAGGAUGCUGAUUAAUUACUUGGAAAAAGAUUCCUUUUUACUUUUGUGAUUGUCAGCACUCAGUCUUGUUCCAAAACCAAUACAAAGCUGCAGCAAUCUUGAAAGGAUUUGAGGAACAAAAGAUGGCCCAGAUUGGAAGUUCUCUCCUUGUGCCUUGUGUUCAAGAGUUGGUCAAGAAUCCGGCGUUAGUUGUCCCCGACAGAUACAUACGUCCAGAUCAAGAUUCACCCCUCAUUUCUGAUGAUAUUUUGAUUUCACAGAUACCAGUUAUUGACAUGCAAAGCUUACUUUCUAAAGAAUCAAUGGAUUCUGAGUUAGCCAAGCUCGACUUCGCAUGCAAAGAAUGGGGUUUUUUCCAGGUAUAAUGCUUUAGCAAAGUUAGAAAAUUGUUUCGCCAGAACAUGCUUGUUUGUGAUCAAGAAUCGAGAAAUAUGCAAAUUGUCAAUCAAAUAGGCAAAAUUAAAAUUCAUAUUUAUUUCUUAAACCCACGUAUCAUUGAUGUUAGCAGAUCAUGGUUUCACUUUCCAGUGUUGUCUGUGGCUUAGGACUGCAGCUUGUGAAAAGAAGAACUUGUCUCUGGUUUAUUUAUUAUUGACUUUCUAUAUUGCUUUACCUUUUCUCCCUCCAGGCAUGGUUUAAUUAGCUAUUUCAUUCCUAAAUGUCAAACAGGCAAUAUGUAUUAAAAAGAUUGUCUUGAGAAAUUUCACCUCCUCUGCCUCAAUAGCUUUUGGUACCUUAUGAGAAAUAUGCUUCUGUCAAAAUUUUAAAAGAUAUACUAUAGUAAAUUGUGUAAGACCUCUUAGAAAAUGUACUCAUUUCUGUAGUCAAUGUUGCAAAUUUACUUUAAUUUAAAGACAAUUAGAAGUAACAUUGAGAUUAUUUGCUGUUGUAUGAUUUUUCAAAUUCUAGGUGUGAACAAACCACAAGAACUUUAUGCUCAUUAUAGUUAUUCUAGAAUAACCAAAAUUUCUCCGAUAGAAUGAGUAGAAAACACCUGUGGAAACUAAUUGUUGGGAAGAUUUAAAUGUAACAAAUGCUUUUAGCCAUCUUUAAUGGUAAAUCUUAUCUCUAAAUCAGUCAGAUAAGUUGCAAUCUGUCUUAAUAAAACACCUGGACUAUUGUGCGCUUAGUGGCACGAUUAUUAAAUCUUUGCUGCAUUUCGUUCCUGUAUUUUUUUCAGCUGGUAAAUCAUGGAAUGAGCACAGCAUUUCUAGAGAAAUUAAAGAAAGAGGUUGAGGGAUUCUUCAAUCUCAGCAUGGAAGAAAAGAAAAAAUAUUGGCAGCGUCCAGGAGAUAUGGAAGGAUUUGGACAAGCCUUUGUUGUAUCGGAGGAACAAAAGCUUGAUUGGGCUGACCUUUUCUCCAUGAUGACUCUUCCAGUUCAUCUGAGGAAACCACAUUUAUUUCCUAAGCUCCCUCCUUCCCUCAGGUUCUCUCUCUCUCUCUCUCUGUGUCAAUGUCAUUUUGAUUUGCAAACAAAUAAAGGAUAGUGCAUCUUCUUUUCCUGUAGAGAGACCUUGGAAGUUUACUCAAUGGAAUUAAAAACCCUAGCCGAGAACCUAAUAUCGAAAAUGGGAGAAGUGUUAAAUAUCAAAGAUGAAGAAAUGAUAGAAUUCUUUGAAAAUGGACUGCAAGGAAUGAGGAUGAAUUAUUACCCUCCAUGUCCUCAGCCCGAGAAGGUUAUGGGCCUGUCGCCGCAUUCUGAUGCAGCUGCACUUACCAUUCUGCUACAACUUAAUGAAGUGGAGGGUCUCCAGGUAAAGAAGGAUGGAAAGUGGAUUCCUG
Molecule: long non-coding RNA, 22965 nt
Filed under: Citrus maxima (pomelo)
Lineage: Eukaryota; Viridiplantae; Streptophyta; Magnoliopsida; Sapindales; Rutaceae
Description: long non-coding RNA (CMAX_LNC002244)
Source: RNAcentral